UGGGGUUGCACGUGCUUACAUUCUGCUGCCGCGGUAGAUACCUCCUUGCUGCCGGCUUCCUGGGGGACAGGUGAGUACGGGUGUGAAUCUGCCGAUUAGGGGGGGACGACAUUUCAAAAGGAAUGCCCAUAAAGCAUACGUCCUGUGGAUCCGCACCGUAUCUCAUAACCUUCCGCUUCCGAGGAGCCUUUCAGGAUUCCUUCCUGGUGGGGUAAAGGCCUCACCAAGGCGACCAUUUGUACCGAGCGUUCGGAGAGGAUGAUCCGCCACACUGUGACUGACACACGGCACCCACUCCUACGAGAACUAGCAAUGGGGAAUAUUGGAAAAUGGGCACCAGAUCUGAUCCAGCCAUGCCGCGUGUGUGAAGAAGGGCUUAAGGUUGUAAAGCACUUUAAAUCGAGGAGAAGGCUACCUUAGAUAAUACCUACAGAUACGUGACGUUACUCGCACAGAUAAACACCGCCUAACUCUGUGUCUAAUCAGCGCGUAAAACACAGGGUGCAAGCGUGAUUCUGAUUAUCUGGGCGUAAAGCGCGCGCUAAGCGGCUAAUUAAAUAAAAUGUGAAAUCCCCGAGCUUAACUUCGGACCACCAUUCGAAACUGGUUAGUCUAGAGUGCUGGAGAGCAUACACUCGCAGAAUUCCAGUGUAGCGUGAAAUGCGUAGAGAUCUGGAGGAAUACCGAUGGCGAAGGCGGCUCAUCUGGUCUGAACACUGACGCUGAGGAUGCGAAAGCAUGGGGAGCGAAACAGGAUUAGAUACCUGGUAGUCCACUGCCGUAAACGAUGUCUACUAGCCGUUGGGGGCCUUUGCGCCCUCUUAGUGGCGCAAGCUAACGCGAUAAGUAGACCGCCUGGGGAGUACGGUCGCAAGAAUAAAACUCAAAUGAAUUGACGGGGGCCCGCACCAGCGGUGGAGCAUGUGGUUUAAUUUGAUGCAACGCGAAGAACCUUACCUGGCCUUGACAUUGUUAGAACUUUCCAGAGAUGGAUUGGUGCCUUUGGGAACUUACAUACAGGUGGUGCAUGGCUGUUGUCAGCUUGUGUUGUGAGAUGUUGGGUUAAGUUCCGCAACGAGGGCAACCCUUUUCUUUAUUUGCCAGCGAGUAAUGUCGGGAACUUUAAGGAUACUGCCAGUGACAAACUGGAGGAAGGCGGGGACGACGUCAAGUCAUCAUGGCCCUUACGGCCAGGGCUACACACUUGUUACAAUGGUCGGUACAAAGGGUUGGUACCCAGCGAUAGGAUGCUAAUCUCAAAAAGCCGAUUGUAGUCCGGAUUGGAGUUUGCAAUUGGACUCCAUGAAGUGGGAAUCGUUGGUAAUCGCGGAUCAGAAUGCCGCGGUGAAUACGUUCCCGGCCCUUGUACACACCGCCCGUCACACCAUGGGAGUUUGUUGCACCAGAAGUAGCUAGCCUACCUGCAAAGAGGCCGGUUACCACGGUGUGGCCGAUGACUGGGGUGAAGUCGAACAAGAGCAUGCU
This 1485-nucleotide ribosomal RNA is filed under the name Bacillus sp. (in: firmicutes). RNAcentral describes it as "bacterial SSU rRNA". It matches the Rfam family "Bacterial small subunit ribosomal RNA". Lineage: Bacteria; Bacillati; Bacillota; Bacilli; Caryophanales; Bacillaceae. The record is from RNAcentral.